Long non-coding RNA from Papaver somniferum (opium poppy), 3475 nucleotides. RefSeq lists it as uncharacterized. Lineage: Eukaryota; Viridiplantae; Streptophyta; Magnoliopsida; Ranunculales; Papaveraceae. The transcript has 7 exons. The record is from RefSeq and is a predicted model, not a curated record.
UUCACACCAAAUUCACCGAUUAGGUCGAGGCAGAGAAGCUAAUUCCAUCCAAUUUAAAUGUCGAAAAUUUGGUUUAGGGAUGCGCAACCCUAGUUUGCCAAAACCUUUAUCCUGGGUUUCUACUUCUGUUACUCAGAUAUCUCAGAUUUAUCCCGUGGUUUCUCAGCAGCAGGAACAGAAGUGGGAAUGGAUGAGUUUAUGAAAAUCAAAAAUGUCUCUGAGAAAUCUGAGAAAGCAGGAAUAAACUCAGGAGAAGCUAAUUCCAUCCAAUUGAAAGGUUUUGGCAGUGAUUUUGUCAACAAAGGUGGUUCGCCAUUCUCAAGCGAAGUUUGAUAUCUUUCUUCAACAUUGAGAAACAGCUGUUUCUGACGGUUCUGGCAAGGUACUCCUCACCUGGCUAACCAUAGAUAGGUCAAAGAGGUAUCCCUGAUUGAACUCUUUAGUAUUUUCUUCUUGUUUCUGUAGCGGGCUUGGUAGUUGACUAUUGUGUCUUACAGUUGUUCCAUUUUGCAAAUCAUGCUCUCAUUCCUUCCAUAUAGUCCUAAUUUUAAAAAUCAGUUUUGGACUAAGAAUCACAUAAACAUCCCUGUACUCUUAUUAUGCCGGUUUCCGAAGGUUUAUCGGAGGAUAAAUAGGCACAAAAACUAGCCUUGCGAUGUUGGCUUGAUCAUGAUUUUGACCAAUAUGAACUGUAUGAGAAAAGCACCAUGAUUUUGUAAGACAUCUCUGGAUCAAAAAUAUGUGUGUAAUCCUGUACUUGUCAAAGACUCCCUCAGACAAGAGCCCAACAUUUUAUUAAUUCGUGUCCAAAGUACAGUUUUUUAGAUCAUAACAGAUAUAGAAUGAUCCAGUGUGAGUUCAAUAUCUUAAUUCUGUUCAGAAUUCAUUCUUUGGGUUCUUGAUGCAUCUUGCUAUAUGGUUAUGCAGUUCUCUGAGGCAGAUCGAAAGUUCUGCACAUGUUCUUAGUUGUUUAAAUGUUUAUAUGAUAUAAGAAAUUUGGUUCAGUUUAUAUGUUUAUAUGAGGGUUGUUAGACCUAGCAAAAAGGUAAAAAAUAUCAUUUUCUGAUUGUGCAACUAGAAGCUAAUAAUUCAUGUUCUUUGGGGUAUACUUUCAUACUCUUAAAUGGUUGUUUCCUUCUGUUUAUAUCUUUAGUCAAGGGGAUUCAUGAUUCGUCUAAGUGAUGUCACAGAUCUUAGCUAUGGAUGAAUGUCCAAAUGAGGCUUUAUGUCAUAGUUACCCUGAUAGAUGAAUCACAUUGUAUUUUUUGUUCUAGUUUAUUGUGUGCUUUAUAUAUAAAGGCAACUUUGCCGAGGUGAUCAGGAUAAUAUUGAUUUCCUCUUUUUCCCUGUUGCCUAUAUUGAUCUGGCUAUGAUUUGUUUUUUGGGGACAAUGAAAUACGUUUUUGUUGUUCAACAUCUUUUCAUAGUGAAUAUUUUAGCUGAGAAACUUGUGUUACUGUAUUUUUCUACAAAGACUUUCACAACCGAUGUAUACUUUAGUACCUCAUAUUGUUUUUUCCCUUUCCGAAGGGGCAACUUUGCCGAGGUCAUCAAUAUUUAUUUGGUUUCCUCUUUUUCCCUGUUGCCUAUACAUAUUGCUUGGCUAUGCUGUGAUAUCUGGGGUCAUUGUUGUUUUGGUCGUUGAUCCUGGUGUUUUGUAGCCAAAUAUUCUUGUUAAUAUACACAAAAGUGUACUGGAUGUGUUUAUUAUAUCUUAUGACGUUUUGGUAGAGGUGCAACUUUGCCGCGGUCAUCAAUAUUCAUUUGAUCUCCUCUUUUUCCCUGUUGCCAAUAUUUUACUUGGCUAUUCUAUAUGAUUUUUGGGCAAACUUACUUUAGAUAGUUUUUCUAGUCUUAUUUUUUGCCAAUAUCUUUGUUUGUGAACACAUACUAGUCCUGGUUGAGUUUCUGUGAUCUGAUGAGACACAGAUAGGCGGGCAACUUUGCCGAGGCUAUCAAUUACAUUUGGCUUCCUCUUUUUCCCUGUUGUCAAUAUUCUGGUUGGCUAUGUUUUAUUAGGUGAGCAAUCUUGGCUUUGUUGGAAUCAAGUAUAUUCUAACUCUUGAAAGAGAUUGAAUUUCAAUAAGUUUUACCAGCCUUGCAUCAUUUGUUUUCAAGUGGUUGUGUGUCUUUUUUUCUGUCACCUUUCUUUGUUUGCAUCCUAAGAGGUUUUGCUGGACAUGAUCUAUCUAAAUGAUGAAAAAUCUAAACUGCUACGGAGCAUGCUCCAAUUAAGCUUUUUUUUUUUUUUUUGUCAUAGUUACACUGAUAGAAGGUUAUGUUUACCUCUCAAUAUUGUCAAAGAUUGGUAGACUUUCACCUGUUCUUUUCUGGUUAUGAACAAUUCAAAGUUGUUUACCGAGGGAACGAGUUUUUGUAUGACAUGUAUCAGGUUUAGUAAGGAUCGUGCCCUAGUGAUGAUUACUUAACAGAAGCUAUGGGUUUGACAUCCAAGUGAGGCUAUUUUGUCAUAGUUACUCUGAUGGGGCAAGUUGGUAAUUAACAUGGUUUUGCUAGUACAGAAUGAACUCUUCAUUUCCUUGAUGUGUGAGUCUUGAACCUUGAUAAUUUUUUGUGGUCCUCCAUGUUUGUUGCAAUCUAUUCUCGAAUUUAUAUAGUGAUUAUUCAUGUUCUGCCAUUAUCAUGUUCCGCUUACGGAUGUAUCUUUUUAAUGGAGAGUAUGUGGUUGGAGAAGCCAAACUUGAUGAAGAGUUUUGGGCAUCAGCAGGUUGAAGCACAAGGACUUUAUGAAGAUCCAUCACACAACCAGUUCGUAAAGCAAUACGCCAAGCCGGAAACUGUCCAUGUGCAUCAUUGCUGCAAGAAAGGAAGGCGAUAAUGUGCUUAUUUCCAUGCUUAAAAAUGUCAUUGGAACACUGGAUUUUCGUGGCAAGUACCCGUCACAGGGGGAGACUUAUCCUGAGGAACUUUCGAAGAACGAGGAUCACAGAAAUAUGGCAUAAUCUCGAGCGUAACUGUAACCGAAAUUGCACGUCAACAAGGUGUUUGAAGCAGCAUGCUGAGGUUUGCAAUUGAAACUGCAAAAGAAGAUGGAGGUGCAGGUAUUCUUACAUGUCCGUUGGGAUAACAAACCAGCAUUGGCACUGUACAGAAAGAUGGGAUUUGAGAUACUUGCAGAGGCGACUCCUCAUCUGGAAGUACAGAAUCUGUAGUUACAUUUUACUCAUUCUUGAAAACUAACAAAGGUUUUGUCCGAAAUGUAAAGUUCUGACGGUAGUAUUCAGUGAGACCUAGCAUAAGAAGAAUGGUACAUACGGAACCGUUCAUUGUAAAGUCCAUAUAAACAAGUGUGACAAAUUUUCAAAUAUAGGAAUAGUUAUCGGGGGAAUAGUUAUCGAGAUUGUUAGUUACUCUCUGCAUUCUAUGCCGAUAAUGAGCUGUUUGAGUUGCUCAUAUCCAAUUUGUCUGAUAUGUUUGGAAGCCUUGAGAGCCAGCAAAAGCAACCAGUUCUUAA